RNAcentral lists this ribosomal RNA (849 nucleotides) under Readeriella mirabilis. RNAcentral describes it as "eukaryotic LSU rRNA". It matches the Rfam family "Eukaryotic large subunit ribosomal RNA", at positions 60 to 940 of the family's 3401-position model. Lineage: Eukaryota; Fungi; Ascomycota; Dothideomycetes; Mycosphaerellales; Mycosphaerellaceae. The record is from RNAcentral.
AGAAACCAACAGGGAUUGCCUCAGUAACGGCGAGUGAAGCGGCAACAGCUCAAAUUUGAAAUCUGGCGCAAGCCCGAGUUGUAAUUUGUAGAGGAUGCUUCUGGGCAGCGGCCGGUCUAAGUUCCUUGGAACAGGACGUCAUAGAGGGUGAGAAUCCCGUAUGCGACCGGCUUAGCACCCGUCACGUAGCUCCUUCGAAGAGUCGAGUUGUUUGGGAAUGCAGCUCUAAAUGGGAGGUAAAUGUCUUCUAAAGCUAAAUAUUGGCCAGAGACCGAUAGCGCACAAGUAGAGUGAUCGAAAGAUGAAAAGCACUUUGGAAAGAGAGUUAAAAAGCACGUGAAAUUGUUGAAAGGGAAGCGCAUGCAAUCAGACUUGUCGGCGGUGUUCCACCGGUCUUCUGACCGGCUCACUCGCCGCCGGCAGGCCAACAUCAUUUGGGCGCGCCGGAUAAAGACGUGAGGAAUGUGGCCCCCUCGGGGGUGUUAUAGCCUCGCGUGCAAUACGGUGUCGCCCGAGUGAGGUCCGCGCUUCGGCUAGGAUGUUGGCGUAAUGGUUGUUUGCGGCCCGUCUUGAAACACGGACCAAGGAGUCUAACAUCUAUGCGAGUGUUCGGGUGUCAAACCCCUACGCGUAAUGAAAGUGAACGGAGGUGGGAACGAAAGUGCACCAUCGACCGAUCCUGAUGUCUUCGGAUGGAUUUGAGUAAGAGCAUAGCUGUUGGGACCCGAAAGAUGGUGAACUAUGCCUGAAUAGGGUGAAGCCAGAGGAAACUCUGGUGGAGGCUCGCAGCGGUUCUGACGUGCAAAUCGAUCGUCAAAUUUGGGUAUAGGGGCGAAAGACUAAUCGAAC